Molecule: long non-coding RNA, 4778 nt
Filed under: Eutrema salsugineum
Lineage: Eukaryota; Viridiplantae; Streptophyta; Magnoliopsida; Brassicales; Brassicaceae
Description: long non-coding RNA (ESAL_LNC001917)
Source: RNAcentral
GUUGGAUAAGCUUCUUCAGCCCAAGGCCCAAGACGUUGUUAACAAGUCGGUUAACAAUACGAUAGGUCUAAAAGGAUAUUUUCCUUAAUAGGACGUUUUCCUUAUUCUUUUAGAAGUAGGUUUAGGGAAAUUAGAAUCCUAUAUAUAUGUGUUUAUUGAGCUGUGAUAAACACAAGAUAAGCAUAAGAGCUUGGAUGUUUAGUUUUGAGCUAUUUUCUAAUCAUCAAAUAAGAAGAGUUAUUUCUUAUACAAAGAGCUGUGUUCUUGCUUAUACGACUUUAUUUGGUAUCAGAGCAAAUCAAAGAAGGAGAAGAAGCCGAGUAGAAGACAACACCCGAAAGUAUGGCAGAAGAAGGAGCCGAUUCCGACAAGGCCAUUACGACCACUGUAACUGCUCGGAAGGAAACAAUUCCUUCAGCGAUCCAAUGCCCAAUGUUGACAACUACAAAUUACUCGAUUUGGGCCAUGAGAAUGAGAGUAAUGCUGCGACUUCAUAAAGCGUGGGAAACAAUCGAGCCAGGCUCGACAGACCCUGAGAAGAAUGACAUCGCAUUAGGUUUACUCUACCAAUCAAUCCCGGAAAACCUAAUAUUACAAAUCAAUGAUCAGACUUCACCAAAAGAGAUUUGGAAUUCGAUCAAGACGCGUAAUUUAGGUGCAGAGCGUGUCAAGGAGGCACGACUGCAGACCUUGAUGUCUGAGUUCGAGAAGAUGAAGAUGGAGGACUCAGAGACCAUCGACGACUUUGCUGGGAAGCUGUCUCAGCUCGCGUCAAAAGCUAAUGCACUCGGAGAAACGAUUGAGGAGCAGCGGUUAGUAAAGAAAUUUUUAAACAGCUUGCUGCGAAGCAAAUUCAUUCAGAUCGUCGCUUCCCUUGAGCAAGUACUCGACCUGAAGACGACAGGGUUCGAAGACAUAAUCGGACGUUUAAAAGCUUAUGAAGAGAGAAUCAAAGGAGACACUAAAGAAGACGAUUCACAAGCCAAGCUUUUAUACGCAAACACAGACCAAAGUAACUCUCGAGGAGGCAGAGGAAACAGAGGUCGAGGAGGCAGGGGAAACAGGGGACGAGGCAGAGGAGGAGCAUCUAAUCCUCAAGACAAAUCGAAACAAAGUAAAGAAAAGAAGGAUAGAUCAAGUGUGAUUUGUUACAGAUGUGACAAAGCAGGUCACUUUGCCUCGGUUUGUCCUGACAGAAAACAAACCCAAGAAGCGAACAAGAUAGAAACCGAAGAAGCAGACAAAGCCCUCUAUAUGCACGAGAUCGUAUUCCUCAAUGAAGACAAUGUUGUGCCGAAAAAAUACGAAAAAGAAAAGAAAGAAGACGGAGUCUGGUAUUUAGACAACGGCGCAAGUAAUCAUAUGACAGGAAUAAGAUCAUCUUUCUUGGAGCUGAAUGAAAAUAUCAGGGGAAAGGUAAAAUUUGGAGAUGGAUCAUGUGUGGAGAUCAAGGGAAAAGGCUCUAUUCUAUUCGAAGGAAAGACAGGGGAGCAACAGCUUAUUCCCGACAUCUACUACAUACCUGAACUAAAGAGUAAUAUCUUGAGUUUAGGUCAAGCCACCGAGUAUGGGUGUGAUGUCAGGAUGAAGCAAAACUAUCUCACGGUACAUGAUCAAGCUGGAAGACUUCUAAUAAAAGUCGAAAGAUCUCCAAACCGCCUUUACAAACUAGAACUCAAGAUUGGGAAACCAAUAUGUCUUCAGUCAAAGAUCGAGGAAGAAACAUGGAGAUGGCAUGCCCGACUCGGUCAUGUUGGUUUUAGGACCAUCAAAGCUAUGUCUGAGCAGAAGAUGGUACACGGUUUGCCAAAAAUCGGAACAGAAACACAACUAUGCGAGUCAUGCCUAGUUGGUAAGCAAACCCGCCAAAGUUUUCCAAACGCUACACAAUACCGAUCCUCACAUGCAUUGGAGCUACUACAUGCCGAUUUAUGUGGCCCAAUCGCACCAGCUACGCUAGCCCAGAACCGCUAUAUUUUUGUAAUCAUCGACGAUUGCACAAGAUAUAUGUGGACUAUACUGUUGAAGGAAAAGAGUGAAGCCUUGGAAAAGUUCAAAGCUUUUAGAAAUCUGGUUGAGAAGGAGUGUGAGAAGAUGAUCAAGAUAUUGCGAACAGAUAGAGGGGGUGAAUUCACAUCUGGUGAAUUCCAAGAGUUCUGUAAAAGCAAUGGGAUUAACCGACACUUCACGGCACCAUACACCCCACAGCAAAAUGGGGUGGUUGAAAGAAGAAAUCGUACCCUUAUGGAGAUGACAAGGAGUAUGUUAAAGGCAAUGAGGGUACCAAAUUAUUUGUGGGGAGAAGCUGUACGACACUCAACAUACGUGAUCAACAGAGUGCCCACAAGAGCCUUAAAAGGUCAAACACCCUACGAAUGUCUGAAAGAAAAGAAGCCAAACAUUGGUCAUCUUCGAGUUUUUGGGUGUUUAGCUCACGCCAAAGUCGAUACCACUCAUCUUAAAAAACUUGAUGAUCGAUCACAGGUUUUAGUUCAUCUUGGAAUCGAACCAGGAACUAAGGCAUACAGGCUUUUAAAUCCAUCUACCAGAAGAAUCAUCGUAAGCCGAGACGUAGUUUUUGAUGAGAAGACUGGUUGGAAUUGGAAGGGAGUAACUGCAGAAGAUGAGCCAGGGUUGUUUCGUAUGACUUGGGGAAAUAUUACAGACGAAGGGCACGGACCGUAUAAAGAGAGUAAUGAGCUACCCCAGGACAAUAUCGAAACAGAAACUCAAGCAGAAACAGAGGUUCAAAGCAGCGACAACGAAGUAGAAACUACAGAAGAACAAAGUCAUGAGGAUCCUGCACCCGAUGAUCCUCUCAUCGGUGAACAGCCACGUUUUACAAAGUCUGGAAGACAAGUAAUUCGACCUAAACACCUUGAUGACUAUGUUUUUCUAGCAGACAUCGAGUGUGAAAGAAUCUUGUUGUCGAUAAACGAUGAGCCCCUGAAUUACAACGAAGCAAAAGAAUCGGAAGAUUGGACUCAAGCUUGCAGAGACGAAAUCUCUUCGAUUAAUAAAAACAAGACAUGGACCUUAGUUGACAGACCAAAGGGAGUCAAAGUCAUCGGUCUCAAAUGGGUUUUUAAAAUCAAGAGAAACGCAGAUGGCACUAUUAACAAAUUCAAAGCCAGAUUAGUUGCCAAAGGUUAUGUCCAACAAUCUGGAAUUGAUUUUGACGAAGUAUUCGCACCAGUAGCUCGAAUUGAAACUGUGCGAUUACUCGUAAGUUUAGCUGCUUCUAAUGAAUGGGAGAUCCAUCAUCUGGACGUAAAGACCGCAUUCCUGCACGGAGAACUGAAUGAAGAUGUGUAUGUCUCUCAACCUGAAGGGUUUGAAAAGAAGGGAGAAGAACAGAAGGUUUUCAAACUCUCAAAAGCCCUAUACGGAUUGAGACAAGCUCCGCGAGCCUGGAACACGAAACUGGAUCAGAUUUUAAGAGGAAUGAACUUUCGAAAAUGUUCAAAGGAGAAUGCAGUAUAUCGCAAGGAAGAAGGAGUAAAGCUUCUCAUUGUCGCAAUAUACGUUGACGAUCUGUUUGUUACAGGAAACACCUUGGAGAUCAUUCUAGAGUUCAAGAAAGGAAUGUCAUCAAAAUUUGAGAUGUCGGACCUUGGUAAACUUACGUAUUACCUCGGCAUCGAAGUAAAACAAAGCAAGGAAGGAAUCGAGAUGAAACAAGAAGCAUACGCACGACGAAUUCUAAAGGAAGCAGGUCUAGACACUUGUAAUCCGACUCAUAUACCAAUGGAGUUUGGAUUAAAGCUGUCGAAAGCCCCAGACGAGGAAUCAGAAGAUGCAACAAUGUAUCGCAGGAAAAUUGGUUGCCUGAGAUAUCUCCUUCAUACUAGACCGGACCUAGCAUUCUCAGUGGGAGUUGCAAGUCGAUACAUGCAGGAUCCAAAGAAGUCACAUGGAACAGCAUUAAAACAGAUUUUGCGGUAUUUACAAGGAACUGCAGGUUUCGGUCUAACAUUCAAGAGAGGAGGAACGAAGAAACUAAUCGGUUACAGCGACAGUAGCCACAACGUGGACGUCGAUGAUGGAAGAAGCACAAGUGGACAUGUUUUCUACUUCGACGAUUCGCCCAUCACUUGGAGUUCACAGAAACAACAAACGGUUGCACUAUCAUCUUGUGAAGCCGAGUUCAUGGCUGCAACGGAAGCUGCAAAGCAGGCUAUAUGGCUCCAAGACUUGUUGAGUGAGAUAACUGGACGUAGCUAUGAGAAGACACUAAUUCGUGUUGAUAACAAAUCGGCCAUCGCUCUCACUCGCAACCCUGUUUUUCACGGAAGAAGUAAACACAUCCACAAGAGAUAUCAUUUCAUCCGAGAGUGUGUAGAAGAUGAACAGAUCAUGGUGGAGUUCGUAUCUGGCGAAGAACAGUGUGCAGAUAUACUUACCAAAGCCCUCGCAAGAAUCAAAUUCAAGACAAUGAGAAGACUGAUCGGCGUUCAAGAUCUCUCGGAGUCGGAUUCGAAGCUUAAGGGGGUGAAUGUUGGAUAAGCUUCUUCAGCCCAAGGCCCAAGACGUUGUUAACAAGUCGGUUAACAAUACGAUAGGUCUAAAAGGAUAUUUUCCUUAAUAGGACGUUUUCCUUAUUCUUUUAGAAGUAGGUUUAGGGAAAUUAGAAUCCUAUAUAUAUGUGUUUAUUGAGCUGUGAUAAACACAAGAUAAGCAUAAGAGCUUGGAUGUUUAGUUUUGAGCUAUUUUCUAAUCAUCAAAUAAGAAGAGUUAUUUCUUAUACAAAGAGCUGUGUUCUUGCUUAUACGACUUUA